Molecule: ribosomal RNA, 492 nt
Filed under: uncultured bacterium
Lineage: Bacteria
Description: partial 16S ribosomal RNA
Rfam family: Bacterial small subunit ribosomal RNA
Source: RNAcentral
AGUGAACGCUGGCGGCAGGCUUAACACAUGCAAGUCGAACGGCAGCACAGUAAGAGCUUGCUCUUACGGGUGGCGAGUGGCGGACGGGUGAGGAAAAUAUCGUAAUCUUCUCUUUCGUGGGGGUUAACGAAGGGAAACUUACGCCAAUAUCGCAUAUGCCCUACGGGUGUAAGCAGUGGAUCUUCGGACCUUGCGCGAUUGAAUGAGCCGCUGUCGGGUUAGCUAGUUGGCGGGGUAAUGGCCAACCAAGGCGGGGAUCCGUAGCCGGACUGAGAGAAUGAUCGGCCGCACUAGAGCUUGGACACGGUCCAGACUCCUGCGGGAGGCAGCAGUGGGCAAUAGUAGACAAUGGGCGCGAGCCUGGUCCAGCCGGACCGCGUGGGUGGAAGAGACCUUCGGGUUGUAAAGCCCGUUUUUUGGGAAAGAAAAGCAGCAGGUUAAGACGCCGCUGUUCUGACGGUACCCAGAGAAUAAGCACCGGCUAACUUCGUG